Molecule: ribosomal RNA, 666 nt
Filed under: uncultured bacterium
Lineage: Bacteria
Description: bacterial SSU rRNA
Rfam family: Bacterial small subunit ribosomal RNA
Source: RNAcentral
AGAGUUUGAUCCUGGCUCAGGAUAAACGCUGGCGGUGUGCUUUAUGCAUGCAAGUCGAACGGGCUACCGCAAGGUAGUCAGUGGCGAACGGGUGAGUAACACGUAAGUAACCUGCCCUCAAGUGGGGAAUAAUCCGCCGAAAGGCGGACUAAUACCGCAUGUGGUCCUUAUCGUAAAGGUAAGGACUAAAGCCCGCCUCUGGCGGGCGCUAGAGGAGGGGCUUGCGUCCGAUUAGCUUGUUGGUGAGGUAACGGCCCACCAAGGCGACGAUCGGUAGCUGGUCUGAGAGGGCGACCAGCCACACGGGGACUGAGACACGGCCCCGACUCCUACGGGAGGCAGCAGCAAGGAAUAUUGGGCAAUGGGCGAAAGCCUGACCCAGCGACACCACGUGGGGGAAGAAGACCUUCGGGUUGUAAACCCCUUUUCCCGGGGAAGAAUAAUGACGGUACCUGGGGAAUAAGCCUCGGCUAACUACGUGCCAGCAGCCGCGGUAAUACGUAGGAGGCGAGCGUUAUCCGGAUUCACUGGGCGUAAAGCGGGCGUAGGCGGCCUGUCAAGUCCGAUGUGAAAUCUCCCGGCUUAACUGGGAGGGUGCAUCAGAAACUGAUGGGCUGGAGUGCAGCAGAGGGAGAUGGAAUUCCCGGUGUAGUGGUGAAAUGCGUA